Molecule: ribosomal RNA, 203 nt
Filed under: uncultured bacterium
Lineage: Bacteria
Description: partial 16S ribosomal RNA
Rfam family: Bacterial small subunit ribosomal RNA
Source: RNAcentral
UACGUAGGGUGCAAGCGUUGGUCCGGAAUUAUUGGGCGCAAAGAGCUGCGUAGGCGGUCUGUCGCGUCGGCUGUGAAAACCCGGGGCUCAACCCCGGGCCCUGCAGUCGAUACGGGCAGACUAGAGUGUGGUAGGGGAGACUGGAAUUCCUGGUGUAGCGGUGAAAUGCGCAGAGUAUCAAGGAGGAACACCGGUGGCGAAGG